Molecule: ribosomal RNA, 492 nt
Filed under: uncultured bacterium
Lineage: Bacteria
Description: bacterial SSU rRNA
Rfam family: Bacterial small subunit ribosomal RNA
Source: RNAcentral
GAUCCUGGCUCAGAUUGAACGCUGGCGGAAUGCUUUACACAUGCAAGUCGAACGGUAGAGGGGGCAACCCUUGAGAGUGGCGAACGGGUGAGUAAUAUAUCGGAACGUGCCCAGUCGUGGGGGAUAACGUAGCGAAAGUUACGCUAAUACCGCAUACGAUCUAAGGAUGAAAGCGGGGGAUCGCAAGACCUCGCGCGAUUGGAGCGGCCGAUAUCAGAUUAGGUAGUUGGUGAGGUAAAGGGCUCACCAAGCCAACGAUCUGUAGCUGGUCUGAGAGGACGACCAGCCACACUGGAACUGAGACACGGUCCAGACUCCUACGGGAGGCAGCAGUGGGGAAUUUGGACAAUGGACGCAAGUCUGAUCCAGCCAUUCCGCGUGCAGGAUGAAGGCCCUCGGGUUGUAAACUGCUUUUGUACGGAACGAAAAGGUUUCUAUUAAUACUAGGAGCUCAUGACGGUACCGUAAGAAUAAGCACCGGCUAACUACGUG